This 76-nucleotide transfer RNA is filed under the name Streptomyces omiyaensis. RNAcentral's name for it is "tRNA-Phe". Lineage: Bacteria; Bacillati; Actinomycetota; Actinomycetes; Kitasatosporales; Streptomycetaceae. The record is from RNAcentral.
GGACCUCGUGGGCGAAGCGGACGCCUUCGGCGUCGAAGACGUCGAGGACCGGGUUCCAGCGCUCGGCGAAGUCCUC